CAUGGAACGGAUAAGCGCUGAAAGCAUCUAAGCGCCAAGCCUUUCCCAAGAUAAGAUCUCCCUAUAGAACCCAGGUAGACCACCUGGUUGAUAGGUCGCAGGUGUAAGCGUAGCGAUACGUUGAGCUUAGCGAUACUAAUGUUCGAUUGAUCU
This 153-nucleotide ribosomal RNA is filed under the name Opitutia bacterium AMD-G3. RNAcentral's name for it is "Opitutae bacterium AMD-G3 partial 23S ribosomal RNA". It matches the Rfam family "Bacterial large subunit ribosomal RNA", at positions 2754 to 2925 of the family's 2925-position model. The record is from RNAcentral. Lineage: Bacteria; Pseudomonadati; Verrucomicrobiota; Opitutia.